AACAAGGCGUACCUGCGGACCUGCGGAAGGAUCAUUACACAUAUAAAGUAUGCCUGGGAAAAUUCGAAAGAAAAGUACCCAGGCGUAUUCUUAUACCCAUGUCUUUUGCGUACUACUUGUUUCCUUGGUGGGCUUGCCUGCCAUUAGGACACCCCUACAAACCUUUUGUAAUUGCAGUCAGCGUCAAAAAAUAACGUAAUCGUUACAACUUUCAACAACGGAUCUCAGAUCGGAAGAGCA
Molecule: unclassified non-coding RNA, 240 nt
Filed under: soil metagenome
Description: partial contains 5.8S ribosomal RNA, internal transcribed spacer 2, and large subunit ribosomal RNA
Source: RNAcentral